GAAGUGCGAUAAGCAAUGCGAAUUGCAGAAUUCCGCGAGUCAUCAGAUCUUUGAACGCAAAUGGCGCCGGAGGGAUAUCCUUCUGGCAUGUCUGUUUCAGUGUCUGAGAGGUUUCACUAACAUCUUAAUGUGAUUGACGACGACACUCUUUAUUGUGUGUUGCUGUCUCUCAUGAAAGAUGCGCGAGUGGAUCUUUCGGUCCAAUGAAGUGGUCACAUCACUCGUAUGUGAUUUCAUUGGGAGCACCGAAUUAUCCGCUAUACUCGCGGUCUCAUGUCAGAUGACGACGACGACGACGACGACUUCGUUUGUUAGUCUGUCAUCAUCUUUCUCUCUCUACACCCUGCAUCUGAGAUAGGCAAGAUCACCCGCUGAACUUAAGC
This 383-nucleotide unclassified non-coding RNA is filed under the name plant metagenome. Its description in RNAcentral is "partial contains 5.8S ribosomal RNA, internal transcribed spacer 2, and large subunit ribosomal RNA". The stretch from base 1 to 105 matches the Rfam family "5.8S ribosomal RNA", at positions 50 to 154 of the family's 154-position model. The record is from RNAcentral.